UACAGAGGGUGCAAGCGUUGUUCGGAAUUAUUGGGCGUAAAGCGCGCGUAGGCGGACCUGCAAGUCGGGGGUGAAAGCCCGAGGCUCAACCUCGGAACUGCCUUCGAUACUGCGGGUCUCGAGUCCGGGAGAGGUGAGUGGAAUUCCUAGUGUAGAGGUGAAAUUCGUAGAUAUUCGCAAGAACACCAGUGGCGAAGGCGGCUCACUGGCCCGAUACUGACGCUGAGGUGCGAAAGCGUGGGGAGCAAACGGG
This 253-nucleotide ribosomal RNA is filed under the name uncultured bacterium. Its description in RNAcentral is "partial 16S ribosomal RNA". It matches the Rfam family "Bacterial small subunit ribosomal RNA", at positions 524 to 776 of the family's 1533-position model. The record is from RNAcentral.